UGGUUUUAGUAAAAGUGAACCAAAUACACGAUGACGACCUUAACCACCUGCUACAAUUAUUGAAACCGCCGUACAGUUCCGAUGGGGGAAGGAGUCUGCGGCGUCUCUCGAAACGAGACCGCCUCACUUAAGCGUUACCAACAGCAAGACAUGACGAUGUGCGCCACAGGGGAUCAGAUAGCCGACGUACGCGUAAAAACUCCACUUUUCGUACUCCAUCUCCUCCACUCCCCACGGACGGGGUGCUAUUAGCUUCUCAUCGAUGCACUACGCCACCAAGAGCAGCAACGUUGUUGCUGAUGGGAGACCGUUAAAUGAGCUCAAGACAUUUUAUCUGCUGCGUUUGCCCCCAGCUCAGUAUAAAUAACACUACCUACAAACCUUGCUAAGUAGAUCGUUUUAUUUAUUUAUUCGCAUGACGACAUAAGCAUACAGAUUUCAUGUAAAAUUUAGACUGUUUAGAGAUAUCUUCACGAGUGAAGGUCUAUCCCACGUGCGAAAUGAUUUCUAUUUGUGCAGUAAAAAAAACACGCUAAUUAACACUGUAACUCAGUGUUGUAAGUGCACACUCUUAAUUUGAAUUUAUUCACCGCAAGCUUUCAGACUUGUUCUUGUUCGAUCUUGUGUGCCUAGUUACUAUGUAAAAUAAAGCAGAUAUUAUAUAUAUAUAUAUAUAUAUAUAUAUAUAUUUUCAAUAAAAAAUCAGCUAGUUUAGAAAAAGUUGAACACCAGAUACAAUGGCUGUAUGAUGCGCCCACCGUAAAGAAUAAUGCGUUUCAUUCGGACGACCUUGCUCGAAUGAAGAGGCCCCACAGGCAUCGUAUGGUUCUUCUACGCAGAACUUAGGUUAGACUUCUCCGGCUGUUUGACAGAGACAGAACGCCGCCGCUGCUGCUACAACUCAGAGGUGAUUCUGCUUACUCCUGCCCGUCUCUUUUUACUUUCCGUCAAUGCCUCGCAUCGUCGCGAACACCACACGACAGCCAGGUCAGCAUGCGUUCGUACUCUAUGCUUUUAUCGACAAUCUGUGCAAGCGCCCGUCACCUAGUCUUCAUCGAUUAGCGUGCUAGUGACCAGCCUCUCAAAUGAUAUGAAAUCAAAAUUACCUUUUUUACAGAACCGUUAUAGAUUAUUGGUAUUAAUAAUAGUGGCCGGUAAAGUGUUAGUUCAUUGGCUAAGUCGGUUAGAAGAGGAGAUUCGGAGAAUCACAGCCGGUCGCUUGUGACUUGCGUCGAAGAACCCUCGAUGAAGGCAAAUUUCGGUGCUCUGCCGAAAAAAAGAUGCUCACGACAUGGGAGGCGCCUUGACGGAUACGCAUAGAUAUAUAUAUAUAUACGUACGUACGUACGUACGUACGGAGGCAAACAAAAACCCACACACACACAGACUCACACUUCUGCACAUCGCGUUUCGAUAAAGAAACACGUAAAAACGGACCGCAGCGUCAACCAUAGCACAAAGCAAAACAAGUGCCCGGUGCCAUCCGUGUAUCAGUCAGUAUAUCCGCAACGUGCUAUGCUGUGACGCCAUGACGUAACAUUGUGGUAUAGUGGUGUCGUACGACGGGGCGCGUUUUGGUACAUCAAGGUCCGAAACCUCCUUCUGUAUGGACCGUCUCGUUGGGUUCACCUUUAUGCGAUGCCAAUGAGAUGCCCUACGAAAGCUAACGAGGAAGCCCAGAAGGGAGCCAAAACGGGAACUAUGAAGGAUCAUACCGGCGAUACACGAGGCACUAUAUAGGCUCGUGGUAGUGUCGCGAUGCUUGGCUUGUGCUACUUGCUGUACUCUGUUAGCGUGCGCAGUAGAAGCUUGAAGAGGGGCACCGCGCCUUCGAAGUGGGAGGAGAGGGUGGGGCCGGGGAGGAGGAAGAGAGGACGAGGAGGAGAAAGAAAAAGUAGGUCUGAUCGGAUCGACUGCGAACGAUCGAGGCCAAAUGCGCGCGUGUGCCAACGAACGUUUUAGGGCUUUAUUUCAGGCCCCUGUGCAGUCUCCGGCUCGCUGUAAAUAUCCUAUCUAGAAUAACACUGAAGUAUCAAGACACGAGUAGCACUGAAAGCACUUAAAAUUAGUAUGGCCGACAUAACAAAACGGACAGAUACGAAAAGAUCAGGUGAGCCACAGGCCUUGCCUUUGUGUUUAACGCAGCGCAGGGCAUAAACAUAAACCGUUACCAUCGAGAGCAGCCUAGUACCUUAUACUAUGAUCAGUCUCACCUCUGAACUACAAUUCAGCGUAAUUAUAAACCAAAAAAUCAGUCCUGUUGCUUUGUCGGGUCAGUGAAGUGAGUUCUGCACUAGAUUGAGCAUUGUUUAAAGUCCAGCUUCAGGAUUAAUCUAAAGCGAUGUGUCAUAAUUACUAUUAUUCGGCAAAAUUGUAAAUGCGAGAAAUGACUAUUUAAACGUUUAGGUUGGCGACAAUUUUCAAGCACUAAAUAUCCCAUAAAUUUGUUUCCAACAAUCUAAUGAAAGAUGAGCCAAAACAGUUUGUUUAUCAUAAAGCUGCGAUCCAAAUGAGCACGUCACGAAAACGGGAAAUAUUUGAAGUGUGAUGUUCUACCGAAGUUGUAGAAAAUGAGCCGUUAAGAUAGAGAGUGAGCCUGAUUCCAUUAUAUUAGCGAGGUUUCAACUUUGCUUUGUGUUAAUCUUACAUCAUAUUGAAAGAAUGAGCCGUAAAUAGCUGUUGUUCGUAUCAGUAGAAAAUAAAAAUAUGAUAAUUAAUUAAUGUUGUCGUUUAAAAAAAAAAUACACUUCUUGUAUUGCUUUACGGUAAAGUUUUCGAAUUUAUUCUAUUGUGCUAGCUACUAGCUAAGAAUCUACACUUCCUGCGAUGUUGAAGCAAAGAAGGCGUUGUCAUGACGUAACCCCAGUGUAACCUUCGUUCCAACAGCGUCUUGUCUAAACUAGAAUUUCCUUCAGUAAUAGCAAGCAAUUGGACCAAGGUAGCAUCUCAUCGCUUUUUCUCUGUACGAUUCUCAAAUCCCGCGGGUCUCUUGGACCAGACGUGUCGCCUGCGCGCAUCAUAGCCUCUAGUACCCAUUGCUUACUAUAAAUGUCGUUUUCUUCGAUUCGGGAGUUUGAGUGUGUUGCUAAUAUUGCUGCUGCUGGAUCAUCCAUCGCAGCAGCAGUGGCGGCUGUAGCAGGAUCGGCCGUCCUGACUGGCUCCAGUUCAACGCCGUGUGAAUGGGCCACGAUUCCGGUCGUCGAGUCGAAGCGGGUCGGGGUACUCUCUCUGUUGUUGAGGAAGUCACCACCCCACCAAACUACAUAGUAGAGAGGCAGGCGAUCCCGGCGACUUCUGCAGCAAACGCCGGUUGACUACCGACGACGACAGGCUACGCCGAUGACAGACACCAACGAUACUCGCCUGUUUGCUUGCUUUCGUAGGCUCUAUGUCUGCCAGGCCGGCAGGCGUCCGUUCACAUUCACAAGAAGCAGACGAAGCAGCAAUAAUAGCAGGAGCGCAAGGAAAAAGAAGAGAAAGACGAAAAAAAGAUGAAAGUAGCUGCAGAAGGAAAGAACAAGUGAAGAAAAAAUGAGGAAGGGGAGAAGGAGAACAGGACGACGACGAAGCAACCAAAGCCAGAUCUAUAAUGGCAGAAGCAUUCGCGACAGCUAGAAGACGACAAAGAUAACGACGACACCAACAACGACAACGACAACCGCAGCAACAACAAGCUCAGCGACGGCAGCAGAAGAAAGGAAGCAAAUGUGCGCCCCCACAGGAAGUUGAACUGCCGGCGAGGAAGCAUCAGGCAGUAGCAUGAACAACAACAAAACUAAAUCUUCUACUCGAUAACCCCGAUAUCUAUCUGCUCGUUCCACUCAUAAGGAUUACCUAGUACGCGGGUAGAACUCUGCUGCCGGCCAGCGACGGCGGCGAAGGCGACAGCAUGAGCAGGAUCAGUCUUCCUAUUGCUUAUACCACUGGCCUUACUAUUCUCUUCUAGACUAUAACUACGAUCAGUACUGCCAAGCUGUACCCGUACGCACAUAUGUGCCUGUACGCUUGAAAGAGCUGGAAGGAAUCAUAUUGGAAAUCUAUCGUUUGUCGACAGAAAAGGUUCUUUCUAAGGGCCUUUGAAAAGCGUCGAGGUUAAGAAGAAGCCUAGACGCGGAAAGUGAGGAAAUCUUGAAUCGAGAAUUCAUUGAACAAAUUGUAUCGUUGAGAGGACUAGUACCGCAGAUACACAGCUUUUUCGUGUUUUAUUUGAACGCGUCUCGUUUUCGCCUAUUCGAACUAAUAGACAUUCACACUUUAAGUUUAUCGUGACCACAAAUAAUGGCUCUGCUCCAAUCCUUACUAAUACAUCAUGUUUCGCGCUGCUUUUGACCUCACGUCUACGAGGCCAUUCCCGUUAUUCGACCCAAUAGGGUACUGUCGGUAUUUAUUUGACGGAUAUAGAUCAUAAAAUAUAAUUAGCCAAGAAGGGAACACGGACUGAAGUGCAGACAAGCAAAAAGUGUUUCGAGUUUUCUAGUACUACAAGAGUACUAUUGGUUGCUUCAGAUAAUCCAAAGCUGAUCGCAUAACCUCACUCAUUUUAGAUGCUUUUUGGCAACAAUUUGUUGUGACAUCAUGGCUUACGCCUCUACCUCGUAUGUAAGUCGUAAUAGUGCAACGGUAAAUUAUUACCUAUCUGCUUAUCAGGUGGCUGGGACUUAUCAGCCUGUGGGCUGAUAUCGAGUUAGCCAUGUGUGCAACUGGCUUCUAAAUGCGAUACAAUAGACUGCAGCCUGAAAAUAAAACCCCUUUCAUUCUAUCUCCGUUGACUUGUUAUUAUUUACUUGUUAGUUCAGCUGUCGGUGGCUAGUUAACAGACGUUCCCAGUUUAGCGUCUAAAUUUGGUUCGUAUCAUGAAAAUAUGGGAAUGUUCUAGGUCAAAACAUAACAUCCUCUCCAAAAAGAACUAGCAUGUCUGGAUCUUUGCACGUUACCUACGAUCCGUAGUAACGUAGGGUAGAAUCCACAACGAACUGGGAAACGUCAGUCACUGUGAUAAACAGCUUAAGCUUUAAUAAAUACUAGCAGCUUCUACUACUGAACGGCUGGCUUAAUCAAACAAUUGAAUUCAUAAAUGUAGAAAGACGAAAUAUUCACUGUUUUCCUAUACAAGCAAACAUCUAACAAGGCAUUAUAGCGCAAGACAAACAUAAACGAACUUGUAGUCUCGACUGUGGACACUUUUGCUACCUUUGUCUAAGUAGAUUCUAUUAUGUUUCUGUUUGGCAUAAUCCGACCGAGACUAAGAGCCCAGCCACCUGUUAUUGAAUGGUCGUCAAGCGAGCGUUGCCAGGGAUAACGACGCCGGAACGAAUAGCAAGGAUGCGACGCAGUCACAAUAUCGAGAAAUGGACAAUAAAAACCAUUCCACCACUUUACCUAAACUGUAUAUUUAAGCAGCAUAUAAGCCUCCGAACUGAAAAGAUUUUACACUCGUUCCGGACGUACACUCGUCCUAAUUAUGCUGUACGUGUUACAACCAGGACACGGCAGAUCGACAGUAGAAACAAGUAGCAUCCUACAACAGAGUUCUCAGUUGUCAUAAUGGCCAUAUUCUGAAAUCUAGAAGAACAUGCAUGCACGGCCAGAUGAAGCGGGCAUAAUAACGAGCGGAAAAAGUCGUCCAAUUCCUGCUGGUGACAGCCACGAGACAUUGUGCACUUCAAAAUUUUAGGCCAGCAAAGGGUUACAGGACUGAAAUGAACAAAGCGUAAUUCCUUCCUCAGACGAACGAAUGUCUCUCGAAUCUAUGAUCAUAUGUACACAGAGGCACAAAUGUAGCCCUAUUGUUACAUAUGUGACUUUUGACGCUUAUUCACGUUGUAUACAUACAUAGUCUUGCUCUCCAUACUUCAUAUGUACAUCUGCGCAUUCGCGUUUCCCUUUUUUUAGUUUUUGUUGUUGGUCCCUAUCUCCUACCGCUGCUGCUGCUGCUGUUGUUACGAGUCUUCCUUAUCGUCUUCUAGUUCCUCUUUUUCCUUUGGGUCUUUCUGUCUUUGCUCAUCUGCUUGGCGGCUGGUGUCCGCCUGCGACAUGAACGACCACGACGGCGACCUGCGCCUGCCGCGGUGUUUUGCGGUCCUGAUGCUGUGGUGAUGUGCCGCGGCUAGCCGGCGUUCACCGCUAUUCUCCACCCAAGGCGCAAAGGCUUAACUCUACCAGCGCCAUCAUCAUGAUUACCAGCAGCAGUAGCGGUGCUAGCAGAAUCAACUCCAGAAAGAGCACAUCUCGUGCGCGCCCUUCUCGUUUCUUUGCCAGUCAGGCCUAGCCCAUCUCUCUCCGUCUGUUGUGCGCGCAGUCGCCCGCUCUCUUUCUAUUUGUUUCGCUAUGUCUAUGUAUUUGAUCCUGCUUGUGAAGCAGCAGCAGCAUGAACUUCGUCUUCCUUUCAAGUUCCUCGUUGGGUUGUUUUCUUCGAUUUCGUUCCCCGUUUCUUUCGUUCCCACGCUCCUUCUUCCGGACCGUGCUCGUUUCUUGGGCAGUCGCUACCAUCAUCACCAGCAGCAUCGUCAUCGCCAGUCGCACCAGGCCAGGCUGCAGCCAGGAGCCGGGCAUCAGCGGGAGCGGCAGUUCUUAGCGGACUACCGCCAAGCUAUCGGCCAGCCGGCGAACAACCAGCCCGCCAGCCCGCCAGACUGGCUGGCUCACAGCGAAACAGACUAGAACCGACUGCAUCAGCCGCAGCACCAGUAAACUAGUGGUAGUAUUCGUUGUCAUCGUAGUACUAUCCUCUCUCUGCCUUUUUUAGCACGCACACAUGGACACACACACAGUAAGUUGCCUUACACGCAGUUUACUACAACUACUACUAGAGCCUGUACAGUUUAUUCACUCUGCCAUCCUAGUUUGGAUCCACCCGCAGCAUCUGCUCUUGCUUAGCUCCCUCGUUCUGUUUUUGGGUCCGAACUCCGGACACAUGGUUCGUCCUGCAUACCGUCAACAGCGGCGGCGGGAGCAGCAGCAUCAGAACUAUGAAUCUGGGGUCCAGGGCCACUCGUUCGGCCUUUGACUACUACGACAUAGCCUCCUGCUUCCGCAGAGGUACUCGUACACCCGUGCUGCCGUCUCUGCCGUGCCAUACCGAAUAGACUCUGCUAC
This is a long non-coding RNA of Varroa destructor (honeybee mite), 7095 nucleotides long. NCBI's taxonomy places the organism in Eukaryota, Metazoa, Arthropoda, Arachnida, Mesostigmata, Varroidae. The record is from RefSeq and is a predicted model, not a curated record.